GUGCUUGCUUCGACAGCACAUAUACUAAAAUUGGAACGAUACAGAGAUUAGCAUGGCCCCUUUGCAAGGAUGACACGCAAAUUCGUGAAGCAUUCCAUAUUUUU
RNAcentral lists this small nuclear RNA (104 nucleotides) under Dasypus novemcinctus (nine-banded armadillo). The record is from RNAcentral. Lineage: Eukaryota; Metazoa; Chordata; Mammalia; Cingulata; Dasypodidae.